CCUAGCUGUCUUCACUGAAAAGGCCUACUUGGUAAUAAGCAUCCCUGGAGCCUAGACUAUGUUGAUUGAAGUAUCAUUUCACACUAAAAGAAGAGAAGUGGCUGGUUCCAGGUCUACGGCAGAGAAAACAUAAGGAGCUUCAGAGAAAAACAAAACCAGUGUACAACUUUGAAGGAAGAAGAAUGGCUGCUGUGUAUAAUGUUGGAGAAGUAUUCUCUGCCACCCAUCUUCUCUCCUACAGUAUAAUCAGGCCAAACUUUCCAAAAUAUAACUUUAAUUCUGAAUCUUGCUCAAAAUUUCCUACUCUUCCUUUUUUUUUCUUACUUGACAACCAGGCUGUCCAGCUCACCUUCAGUGAUUACUCUCAACAAAAGCACCCAAUAACAAAAUUAGUCCACCUCUAUACUUUUCUCAUCCUGCUACAACUGGUUAGAAUCACUUUUAUCUAAAUCUUAAUCAUCUCUCAAGACCCAGUUAAAGCCCUCUAUCAUUCAUAAGACCUUUCCCAGUCUUCAUGGUUCACACAUUAGCUCUCUCUGAAAGUCCAUAACAGCUUUCAUCUGAACUUUCCUUUUGGCAUUUAAUAAAAUACUCUCUUGUGCCCUUGCCAAGUCUUUUUUUGAUCCACCUUCUACUCCAGUUCCUAGAAAAUAGUAACUGUAUACCAUAAAAACAAAGAUGAUUAU
Molecule: long non-coding RNA, 686 nt
Organism: Mustela lutreola (European mink)
Lineage: Eukaryota; Metazoa; Chordata; Mammalia; Carnivora; Mustelidae
Exons: 3
Source: RefSeq, a predicted model, not a curated record